UCGGAGUUCUCGGACCUAUGGGCCUCUUAAAUUGCACACCAUGAUUAACAUCCUUAAUAGUUCAUUACUCUAGUACCUUAAAAGACUUGCUAAGCCCAUAAGUUAAUCUCUUUACGUACAUGAAAUGUUCUAACUAUGCAUUGCAAUACAGUGUCUGGCCAAGAACCAUUAGACUACUUGCAGUGGUUAUUUACUCGAGUAAAAUGAAGAGAAGGGGUGUGAAAUGAAAAGGUGUGUCCUUGAUCUUGGACUGUCUCGAUACCCUAAGGACAAGGGUUUUGGGUGUAGGGUCGAUGGGUCUCUUAAACUCAUAGUGGUUCACGAAUAUGCAUUGCAAUACAGUGUACGUGUAAAAACCAUUAGACUACUUGCAGUGGUUAUUUACUCGAGUAAAUGAAGAGUAGGGUGUGAAAUGAAAAGGUGUGUCCUUGAUCUUGGACUAUCUCGAUACCCCAAGGACAAGGGUUUUUGGUGUAGGGUCGAUGGGUCUCUUAGAGUCUUAGUGGUUCACAAACGGUGGUUAUGGAAGAUUGUCCAAAACAUUGUAGGCCUACGGGCACAAGUUGCGUCUUGGUGCUUUGUGUAUGCACACUAUGCCUUAUGUCUUGUCCAUCUUCUCGAU
Molecule: long non-coding RNA, 622 nt
Filed under: Fragaria vesca (wild strawberry)
Lineage: Eukaryota; Viridiplantae; Streptophyta; Magnoliopsida; Rosales; Rosaceae
Description: long non-coding RNA (FVES_LNC001128)
Source: RNAcentral